RNAcentral lists this long non-coding RNA (1049 nucleotides) under Linum usitatissimum (flax). Its description in RNAcentral is "long non-coding RNA (LUSI_LNC004665)". The record is from RNAcentral. Lineage: Eukaryota; Viridiplantae; Streptophyta; Magnoliopsida; Malpighiales; Linaceae.
UGGGAAAGGAUUUUACAAGACUGCCCUUACUUUUAUGUAAAUGGAACAUAAUAAAAAAAAUGUCUGCUUACAACACUGCAAAUAGGGAAUCUCUGGUUUCUAACAGAGCUUUAACUGUCAAGAGAAAGGGAAGAGCCAAAGAGAAUCGAAGAGGGAAAUUAAUGAAUUAAUAUUUGGGUUGAAAUAGAGAGUGGGUGGCGAUUCAUUGUCGGCAGCUAAGUAUGAAGGGGGUAAUUGAGAACAAGGGAAAAGCAAAGUGAAACAAGUUCUUCAAUGGAGUUCUUCUUCACCUCCGAUUUCUUGAAAUUUCGAGGUGAAUCGGCAUAAGAAACAAAGAAAAAAUUGAAACAGAGCGAAUCGUCAAUAGAGCAUCUUCUCCGCUUCCGAUUUCUUGAUAUUUCGAGGUGAAACGUCAUAAGAAAAAACAGAGCCUCUCUUCCUCUCGCAUGGCUUCGACCUCUGCUCUCGGGAAUAACCGAACACGACCUCAGCGAAGAUGGGAUAUUGGGACGGCCGAUUUGCAGAAGAUGGAGUUCUUCAAUUUAAUAAAUUGGGUCGACCUCUGCUCUCAAGAACAAGUUAUUCAAUGGAAUUCUUCAAUUUACAAUGGAGUUUUUAAUGGAGGAGGGAAGUUGAAGAAGGAGAGGAGAGAGAAGAAGACAGGAUAAAGUGAGGAGAGAGUGUGCUGCCAGAUGGGCGCCCAGUGCUGACGUGGCACGUAAUUAUAAAAACUUCAAGGGCAAUUUAGUCUGAAAUAAGUGAUAUUGAGAGUGAUAAUUACAUAUCUGUUAUGAAUAUUAUAAUUAUGUGUAUGAAUGCCCAUUUGUAACUCCUACCUUUGUAACUUCUAUAUAUUGAACAUGAAAAUGAAUAUCCUAUUUAAGUGUAGUUAUACUAGUGAUGUAUAAGUUAUGAAUUCUAGAGCCUAUAAAUAGUGCUCUCUCUUGUACCAUUUUCACACCUCAAUAAGAAAGUACUUCUCCUCCCAUAUUCUUGUUCUAUUCUUUGUUCUUAGUUUUAUAACACGUUAUCAGCACGAAGUUCCGCCG